This 433-nucleotide ribosomal RNA is filed under the name uncultured bacterium. Its description in RNAcentral is "partial 16S ribosomal RNA". It matches the Rfam family "Bacterial small subunit ribosomal RNA", at positions 28 to 507 of the family's 1533-position model. The record is from RNAcentral.
GAUGAACGCUGGCGGCGUGCUUAACACAUGCAAGUCGAGCGGGCACCCUGGUAUCAUCGUCCUACGAGUUUUUAAUGCGUGGGAACGUCCCCCGUGGGACGACCUCACGCUUAGACUCUCGUAAUAAUGGCGAAUACAACCUGUUACGGAAACAUAUAAUGCAUCAGGUUCGACACGCGUCGGAUCAGGUAUUUGUUUGGGUAAUGGCCUACCAAGGCGACGAUUAGUAGCUGGUAUGAGAGGAUGAUCAGCCACACUGGGACUGAGACACGGCCCAGACUCCUACGGGAGGCAGCAGUGGGGAAUAUUGCACAAUGGGGGAAAGGCUGAUGCAGCCAUGCCGCGUGAACGAUGAAGGACUUCGGGAUGUAAAGCUCUAUUAUCCGGGAAGAUAAUGACGGUACCGGAAGAAUAAGCCCCGGCUAACUUCGUG